This is a long non-coding RNA of Equus caballus (horse), 1702 nucleotides long. NCBI's taxonomy places the organism in Eukaryota, Metazoa, Chordata, Mammalia, Perissodactyla, Equidae. The record is from Ensembl.
CGGCCAGAGGCUGGCGCUUUGUCUCCAUCGGACUUUAAUGCCACCUCACCUUGGGCAGAGGGAAUGUGGUUAAGUCAACACUGUGGACGGGCCUCUAACCAACCCUAAAGAAGCUGUGUGCGGACGCUGGCAGCCUUGGGCACUGAUAAAGGUAGAGUGUCCGUGCGCACUCUCAUCCACUUGAACUCACGGCAGGCCCAGCGGGCCAGGCCUCCGGGUCACCACACAUGUAUAAAAAGGGAAACUGAGGCUCCAGGGCUCCUGAUGAUGCUAACAGACACAGCCAGCUCUCUGCGCCCGGGCUACGAGUUCCGAUGCUGGCACUUUGGAUGUUUGACAGCACAGGCUGUGACAACGACGCCGGGACUGCCAGCCAUGGGACCGUGACGUGAAAUUUGCAAACCAGUUCAGAGAUGUUAAGAAUGUGAAAACGCAAAUGUGCAUCUCAGGAUGGAGGAAACAUGGCAGGUGACUCCUGAGGGGGAAGGAAGGCUGAGAGUUGAAAAUAAAAAGCGCGCUCCUCCAGCUCAGAGCUGGGGUUGAGCAAGGCUUCUUGCUCCCAGGCUGCUGGCCGAGAACCUGGGCUAGCCCAGGCUAGCCUGGGCCAAGCGAGAAUGGACCGUGGAGAUAGCUGAUCCAAAGGGUCGCUUUGAAAGAAAUAGAAACCACCGUGAAAUUGGUGGUCCAGGGUUUGCUCGCUCUCUGAUGAAAGGGGAUCACCUCCACGUGAAAUCUCUUUGUCCAGAAGUGAAGGAAGCGAGGGGAAGUGAGCCCCAGCCGGUCCCAGCAGUGGUCACAUGUCUCUCAUUGCUUGGGGACAAGAUGUAUGGUGCUGACACGGAACCAGCAGGAUAGUUUCAAGCGUUUACCAGUUACUGCCUGGUGGGGGGUCCUCAUCAGCCAUCCAGUAUGGGGGGCGGGGGCUGAGCCCUGGACAACCAGCCAGUCCCAUGCCACCCCCGUCACCAUUCCGGAGCCACCCUCUUCUUCCAGAGCCCCCGGAUGGAAACCGCUCAGGCCUGAAGAGCCUCCUGGGGUCCUGGCUUCUGUUUUCUGGAAGGCAGGCUGCUGUCUGGAAUUCUGGCCCCCAUCUCCUCCGUCAGAGGCACACAGGGCUGGGGACAAUCCAGAACACCUGAAGGGACUGCCAUGCUCUGCACAGGCCCGUACACCAUGGCCAGGGCCACUGCGAGCUCACAGCUGGGUUUCAGCCCCUAUCACCCCGCCAGGCAUCUUUGCUCAGUGCACUAACUACACGGCUGUAGGAGUAGAGAAGUAGCCCUGGUCAUCAGAUGGUAAGUCUUAGGAACAAGCAGCGUCAUCCUUGCCUUCAUUUAACAAACACUGAUCAAGCUCCUGGUGCCUGUGCCAAGCAGCCUGCCACACACAUCAGCCCAGACAGAAUGGCCAGGGGAGGCAUCACGUCACAUGCCCAGAUGGAUUGGCAAUGCCUGUCUGGAGAGCUGUGAGCCAUUGGUGAUGUCUGCCCUGGACAGGAGAAGGCGGGACAUAGCAUCACUGGUUCUAUUUCAGGAGUCUAGGGGUGGGUGCCAGGAUGAGUAACAUACAGCCCUUGCUUUCAAGGGGUAAUUCACCAGGACAAACAAAGCAAUUAAUUAGUUGCCCGGAUACAAUGUUACAAAUUCCUUUGUGGCCAGGUUUUGUUUUGGGGCCUUCAUUUACACAGAAUUUUUUCUCCCAG